This is a long non-coding RNA of Carassius carassius (crucian carp), 380 nucleotides long. RefSeq lists it as uncharacterized. The transcript has 3 exons. The record is from RefSeq and is a predicted model, not a curated record. NCBI's taxonomy places the organism in Eukaryota, Metazoa, Chordata, Actinopteri, Cypriniformes, Cyprinidae.
CAGAAUCAUACAGUGGGGAAUUAUACUGACCAAAUUCAGCAACUGUGGAUGAUUAUUAUCAUCCUAUCUGGUCUGAUGCAUGGUAUUCUGGUCUUUGUAGUCAUUGGUGUAUGUUGCUACUCUAGAGAAAAAUUAAAACAUAGAGAAACAGAUAUAGAGCAGACUCAGUUUAUACGUCUGGAACAAGAGCCAAAGACAAUGUAUACUGAGGUGGUCUUUUCCUUGAUGCGUGAAGAGUUUGAACAAAAGCAGUGCGUUUCUCCUGCAGCCCAAAUAAUAAACAGGAAAGCAUGUUCUUGACCUUAUAUCAGCAGGUUGCUUUUACUUUUGUUUUAAAUGUAAAGUUCCAAAACAUAUAUUUACUUGCUCAAUUAAUAAAA